AAAAUUUAAAUAAAGAGAAGAACUAAUGAACAAAGGAUGCAUGACAUCUUGACAAAACAAGAUAAAUACUAGACCAUAAAUAGAAAAGAAGGCAACAAGAAAAUCAAAGGCUGAAACUGGAACAGAACUGACACAAAUAAUACAACUGAAAGCUAAUGUGGUAAACCUGACAAAUCAAACUAGUGACAUAAGCAAUCAUGAAACAAUCAAAAAGCGUGGAUCAAAACUAAACUAAACAAGAAUGGAGCUCAACAUGUGGCUGAAGUGUGAUGAACAGAAAACAACAAGUUGUG
Thalassophryne amazonica is the source of this 293-nucleotide long non-coding RNA. RefSeq lists it as uncharacterized. The transcript is spliced from 3 exons. The record is from RefSeq and is a predicted model, not a curated record. NCBI's taxonomy places the organism in Eukaryota, Metazoa, Chordata, Actinopteri, Batrachoidiformes, Batrachoididae.